RNAcentral lists this long non-coding RNA (654 nucleotides) under Nicotiana benthamiana. Its description in RNAcentral is "long non-coding RNA (NBEN_LNC005260)". Lineage: Eukaryota; Viridiplantae; Streptophyta; Magnoliopsida; Solanales; Solanaceae. The record is from RNAcentral.
AUCAGUUUAAAAUCAAGGACCUUGGGUCCUUGCAUUAUUUCUUGGGGAUUCAGAUGUCUCAUGUUCCUGGUGGAAUGAUCCUCAAUCAGCAGAAAUAUGUUUCUGACAUGUUGCAUCAGUUUGACUGUUCCAAUGUGUCUUCUGUUGUCUGUCCUUUGGAUGCGAAUGUCAAACUUCUUGCUGAUUGUGGUGACCUCUUACCCUCUCCUGAUCAAUUUAGGAGUUUAGUGGGUAAGCUUUUAUUUUUGACACAUACUAGACCUGAUAUCUGUUUUGCUGUUCAACAUCUAAGUCAGUUCCUCAAGUGUCCUCGAGUACCUCAUAUGAAUGCUGCUCUUCAUGUGUUGCGAUAUCUUAAAGGCACUUCCUCUAUGGGCCUCUUCUACUCUGCCAAUGCCUCGAGUACCUCAUAUGAAUGUUGCUCUUCAUGUGUUGCAAUAUCUUAAAGGCACUUCCUCUAUGGGCCUCUUCUACUCUGCCAAUAAUUAUUUUUCUUUAAGUGGUUAUUCCGACAGUGAUUGGGCUGCUUGCCCUGACACCAGAAGGUCCAUUACUGGGUUUUCUGUUCUUCUGGGUGGUUCUUUGGUCAGUUGGAAAUCUAAGAAACAACCUGUUGUAUCUUUAUCAUCUGCUGAGGCAGAGUAUCGGGCUUUA